RNAcentral lists this unclassified non-coding RNA (362 nucleotides) under uncultured Helotiales. RNAcentral's name for it is "sequence contains ITS2". The stretch from base 1 to 154 matches the Rfam family "5.8S ribosomal RNA". Lineage: Eukaryota; Fungi; Ascomycota; Leotiomycetes; Helotiales. The record is from RNAcentral.
AACUUUUUACAAUGGAUCACUUGGUUCUGGCAUCGGUUAAGAACGCAGCGAAAUGCGAUAAGUAAUGUGAAUUGCAGAAUUCAGUGAAUCAUCGAAUCUUUGAACGCACAUUGCGCCCCUUGGUAUUCCGAGGGGCAUGCCUGUUCGAGCGUCAUUAUAACCCCUCAAGCUCGGCUUGGUGUUGGGGCCUGCCGCACGGGCAGCCCUUAAAAUCAGUGGCGGUGCCGUCUGGCUCUAAGCGUAGUAAUUCUUCUCGCUAUAGAGUCCCGGUGGAUGCUUGCCAUUAACCCCCAAUUUCAAUGGUUGACCUCGGAUCAGGUAGGGAUACCCGCUGAACUUAAGCAUAUCAAUAAGCGGAGGCU